This 448-nucleotide ribosomal RNA is filed under the name uncultured bacterium. Its description in RNAcentral is "SSU rRNA". It matches the Rfam family "Bacterial small subunit ribosomal RNA", at positions 26 to 518 of the family's 1533-position model. The record is from RNAcentral.
AGGAUGAACGCUGGCGGUGUGCCUAAUACAUGCAAGUCGAACGAGAUCUUCGGAUCUAGUGGCGGACGGGUGAGUAACACGUUGGUACCUACCCCGAAGUGGGGAAUAACUGCCCGAAAGGGUGGCUAAUACCGCAUAAUACCGCAAGGUUAAAGCAGUAAUGCGCUUCGGGAGGGGCCUGCGUCCCAUUAGCUAGUUGGUAGGGUAAUGGCCUACCAAGGCGACGAUGGGUAGCUGGAUCGAGAGGUUGACCAGCCACACUGGGACUGAGAUACGGCCCAGACUCCUACGGGAGGCAGCAGUAAGGAAUCUUCCACAAUGGACGAAAGUCUGAUGGAGCAACACCGCGUGCAGGAUGACGGUCUUCGGAUUGUAAACUGCUUUUAUAUGGGAAGAUUAUGACGGUACCAUAUGAAUAAGGACCGGCUAACUACGCGCCAGCAGCCGC